This 232-nucleotide long non-coding RNA is filed under the name Elaeis guineensis (African oil palm). RNAcentral's name for it is "long non-coding RNA (EGUI_LNC002568)". The record is from RNAcentral. Lineage: Eukaryota; Viridiplantae; Streptophyta; Magnoliopsida; Arecales; Arecaceae.
AGUUGCAACAUCCACUUACAAUGGGUGUAAUGUCACUGAUCACAUAAUGGAAGGAUGUCCUUUCUUAAUGAGUCCAAUCAAGAAUGAAGUAGCACAGGUGAACACAGCCUAUCAGAGACCCAUAAAUAACCCCUAUGCACCAACAUACAAUCCAGGAUGGAUGAACCACCUUAAUUUUUUUUGAUCAUAUGGGUCAAACUCAAAUAGACCUACCUUCACUCAGUCCAACCCC